RNAcentral lists this ribosomal RNA (485 nucleotides) under uncultured Actinomycetes bacterium. RNAcentral describes it as "bacterial SSU rRNA". It matches the Rfam family "Bacterial small subunit ribosomal RNA", at positions 73 to 572 of the family's 1533-position model. The record is from RNAcentral. Lineage: Bacteria; Bacillati; Actinomycetota; Actinomycetes.
CUGGAGCUUGCUCCAGUGGAUUAGUGGCGAACGGGUGAGUAACACGUGAGCAAUCUGCCCUUGACUCUGGGAUAACUGCGGGAAACUGUAGCUAAUACCGGAUACGACACCUUGGGGCAUCCCAGGGUGUGGAAAGAAUUUCGGUCAAGGAUGAGCUCGCGGCCUAUCAGCUAGUUGGUGAGGUAAUGGCUCACCAAGGCGACGACGGGUAGCCGGCCUGAGAGGGUGACCGGCCACACUGGAACUGAGAUACGGUCCAGACUCCUACGGGAGGCAGCAGUGGGGAAUAUUGCACAAUGGGCGCAAGCCUGAUGCAGCAACGCCGCGUGAGGGAUGAAGGCCUUCGGGUUGUAAACCUCUUUUAGCAGGGAAGAAGCGAAAGUGACGGUACCUGCAGAAAAAGCACCGGCUAACUACGUGCCAGCAGCCGCGGUAAUACGUAGGGUGCAAGCGUUGUCCGGAAUUAUUGGGCGUAAAGAGCUCGU